AUUGAACGCUGGCGGCAUGCUUUACACAUGCAAGUCGAACGGCAGCGCGGGCUUCGGCCUGGCUGCGAGUGGCGAACGGGUGAGUAAUGCAUCGGAACGUGCCCAGUAGUGGGGGAUAGCCCGGCGAAAGCCGGAUUAAUACCGCAUACGACCUGAGGGUGAAAGCGGGGGACCGAAAGGCCUCGCGCUAUUGGAGCGGCCGAUGUCGGAUUAGCUAGUUGGUGGGGUAAAGGCUUACCAAGGCGACGAUCCGUAGCUGGUCUGGGAGGACGACCAGCCACACUGGGACUGAGACACGGCCCAGACUCCUGCGGGAGGCAGCAGUGGGGAAUUUUGGACAAUGGGGGCAACCCUGAUCCAGCCAUGCCGCGUGCGGGAAGAAGGCCUUCGGGUUGUAAACCGCUUUUGUUCGGGAAGAAAUCCUCUGGGCUAAUACCCCGGGGGGAUGACGGUACCGGAAGAAUAAGCACCGGCUAACUACGUG
This 484-nucleotide ribosomal RNA is filed under the name uncultured bacterium. Its description in RNAcentral is "partial 16S ribosomal RNA". It matches the Rfam family "Bacterial small subunit ribosomal RNA", at positions 28 to 507 of the family's 1533-position model. The record is from RNAcentral.